RNAcentral lists this long non-coding RNA (225 nucleotides) under Amphibalanus amphitrite. RNAcentral's name for it is "uncharacterized LOC122386898". Lineage: Eukaryota; Metazoa; Arthropoda; Thecostraca; Balanomorpha; Balanidae. The record is from RNAcentral.
UGUCCAAUGAUGUAGUUGCGCGCCACGCGAGAGCCAAUCAGGUAAUCGUUUAUUCUGACCAAUGAGAGAGCAGCCGAAUUUCCGUUGAGCCCCCGCCGCGUCCAGCGCGGGAAUUCGGUGCGCCGCGACAUGGCGAGGAUCGAGAUGUGAUUGGAUUGCGCCUGCUUGAACGGGCGUUUCAGUUUGUUUGUUUGUCUGCUGGAUACACGCUUGGUUGGCUCCGAG